This 73-nucleotide transfer RNA is filed under the name Pseudomonadota bacterium. Its description in RNAcentral is "tRNA-Pro". It matches the Rfam family "tRNA". Rfam says of the family: Transfer RNA (tRNA) molecules are approximately 80 nucleotides in length. Their secondary structure includes four short double-helical elements and three loops (D, anti-codon, and T loops). RNAcentral also lists the same sequence under 2 other names. Lineage: Bacteria; Pseudomonadati; Pseudomonadota. The record is from RNAcentral.
CGGGGUAUAGCGCAGUUGGUAGCGCGCUGUGUUUGGGACGCAGAGGUCCCCAGUUCGAGUCUGGGUACCCCGA